This 253-nucleotide ribosomal RNA is filed under the name uncultured bacterium. RNAcentral describes it as "partial 16S ribosomal RNA". It matches the Rfam family "Bacterial small subunit ribosomal RNA", at positions 524 to 776 of the family's 1533-position model. The record is from RNAcentral.
UACGUAGGGGGCGAGCGUUGUCCGGAAUUAUUGGGCGUAAAGAGCGUGUAGGCGGUUCGGUAAGUCUGCCGUGAAAACCUGGGGCUCAACCCCGGGCGUGCGGUGGAUACUGCCGGGCUAGAGGGUGGUAGAGGCGAGUGGAAUUCCCGGUGUAGCGGUGAAAUGCGCAGAUAUCGGGAGGAACACCGGUGGCGAAGGCGGUUCUCUGGGCCUGUACUGACGCUGAGGAGCGAAAGCGUGGGGAGCGAACAGG